AUGGCCUCCGUCUACGAGCUCGCCUGCAUCUACUCGGCCGUCAUUCUGCACGACGAUGAGGUGACCGUCACGGAGGAUAAGAUCAAUGCCCUCAUAAAAGCAGCUGGUGUAAAUGUUGAACCUUUCUGGCCUGGCAGACGGGCAGGCCAUGGCGCGGGCGAGUACAGGCUGGCGCUGCCGGCGCGCUGGGGCAGCCGCAGUGGAGGGGCAGGACCUCCUGCUGGAGCAGCACCAGCUGCUGGAGCAGGUCCACCAGCCCCUACAUUGCAGAUGAGGCUCCCGAUGUUGACAUUGGCCAGGGCCUUUGCAAACAACUACGAGCUCGCCUGCAUCUACUCGGCCGUCAUUCUGCACGACGAUGAGGUGACCGUCACGGAGGAUAAGAUCAAUGCCCUCAUAAAAGCAGCUGGUGUAAAUGUUGAACCUUUCUGGCCUGGCUUGUUUGCAAAGGCCCUGGCCAAUGUCAACAUCGGGAGCCUCAUCUGCAAUGUAGGGGCUGGUGGACCUGCUCCAGCAGCUGGUGCUGCUCCAGCAGGAGGUCCUGCCCCCUCCACUGCGGCUGCCCCAGCUGAGGAAAAGAAAGUGGAAGCAAAGAAAGAAGAAUCUGAGCAGUCUGAUGAUGACAUGGGCUUUGGUCUUUUUGACUAAAUCUCUUUUGUAACAUGUUCAAUAAAAUGUAGAACUCUUAAAAAAAAAA
Molecule: non-coding RNA, 697 nt
Organism: Microcebus murinus (gray mouse lemur)
Lineage: Eukaryota; Metazoa; Chordata; Mammalia; Primates; Cheirogaleidae
Source: RefSeq, a predicted model, not a curated record